AGUUGCAGCAGUGUGAAAUAUGCCUAUUUCAUCAUAUUGCAUCAACAUCAUGUUCUGGGGUGAAUACACAGCAGUGACAAUAACAAGACCCUGUGGCCCUGAGGGAGCUCGCAGUCUAGUGGAUACCAUGACGUAAACAGCUGUCAGAGGGCUGUAAAGACAGCCGCAUUGACUCAGCAUUUUGCAGAACAGCAACAGUCACUGGGAGAGGAGGAGGCUGUGCAUGGAGCUGGGGUUUGACACAUGAUACACUACCAUAUGCUUACUCAAAUUUAGAUAAAAUCCCCCACAAUGUGUACAGGGAAUAAAAGAA
Fukomys damarensis (Damara mole-rat) is the source of this 313-nucleotide long non-coding RNA. RefSeq lists it as uncharacterized. The transcript is spliced from 3 exons. The record is from RefSeq and is a predicted model, not a curated record. Lineage: Eukaryota; Metazoa; Chordata; Mammalia; Rodentia; Bathyergidae.